This 441-nucleotide ribosomal RNA is filed under the name uncultured bacterium. RNAcentral's name for it is "partial 16S ribosomal RNA". It matches the Rfam family "Bacterial small subunit ribosomal RNA", at positions 338 to 795 of the family's 1533-position model. The record is from RNAcentral.
CCUACGGGAGGCUGCAGUAGGGAAUUUUGCGCAAUGGGGGAAACUCUGACGCAGCAACGCCGCGUGAUCGAUGAAGGCCUUCGGGGUGUAAAGUUCUGUCAGGGGGGACGAAAACUGACGGUACCCACAGAGGAAGCACCGGCUAACUCCGUGCCAGCAGCCGCGGUAAUACGGGGGGGGCAAGCGUUGUCCGGAAUGACUGGGCGUAAAGAGUGCGUAGGUGGCCUGUUAAGUCUGAUGUUAAAGGCGGAAGCUCAACCUGCGAAGGGCAUUGGAUACUGGCGAGCUGGAAUGCAGGAGAGGUAAGGGGAAUUCCUGGUGUAGCGGUGAAAUGCGUAGAUAUUAGGAGGAACAUCGGUGGCGUAAGCGCUUUACUGGGCCGUAAUUGACAUUGAGGAACGAAAGCCGGGGUAGCAAACGGGAUUAGAUACCCGUGUAGUC